UACGAAGGGGGCGAGCGUUAUCCGGAGUUACUGGGCGUAAAGGGCGUGUAGGUGGUAUCGUAAGUCUGGCGUGAAAUUUCUCGGCUUAACCGAGGCAGGUCGUCGGAUACUGCGAGGCUAGAGGACGGUAGAGGCGUGUGGAAUUCCGGGUGUAGUGGUGAAAUGCGUAGAGAUCCGGAGGAACACCAGUGGCGAAGGCGACACGCUGGGCCGUACCUGACACUGAUGCGCGACAGCAUGGGGAGCAAACAGG
Molecule: ribosomal RNA, 253 nt
Filed under: uncultured bacterium
Lineage: Bacteria
Description: partial 16S ribosomal RNA
Rfam family: Bacterial small subunit ribosomal RNA
Source: RNAcentral